AAACCGAAUCGUAGUCCGGAUUGCAGUCUGCAACUCGACUGCAUGAAGUCGGAAUCGCUAGUAAUCGCGGAUCAGCAUGCCGCGGUGAAUACGUUCCCGGGUCUUGUACACACCGCCCGUCAAACAAUGGGAGUGGUGUUUACCAGAAGUCGUUAGCCUAACCGCAAGGAGGGCGGCGACCACGGUGAGCACCGUGACUAAUGUUAAGUCGUAACAAGGUAGC
RNAcentral lists this ribosomal RNA (223 nucleotides) under uncultured bacterium. RNAcentral's name for it is "partial 16S ribosomal RNA". It matches the Rfam family "Bacterial small subunit ribosomal RNA", at positions 1278 to 1500 of the family's 1533-position model. The record is from RNAcentral.